RNAcentral lists this transfer RNA (77 nucleotides) under Cytophagales bacterium. RNAcentral describes it as "tRNA-Arg". It matches the Rfam family "tRNA". From Rfam's summary of the family: Transfer RNA (tRNA) molecules are approximately 80 nucleotides in length. Their secondary structure includes four short double-helical elements and three loops (D, anti-codon, and T loops). Further hydrogen bonds mediate the characteristic L-shaped molecular structure. tRNAs have two regions of fundamental functional importance: the anti-codon, which is responsible for specific mRNA codon recognition, and the 3' end, to which the tRNAs corresponding amino acid is attached (by aminoacyl-tRNA synthetases). tRNAs cope with the degeneracy of the genetic code in two manners: having more than one tRNA (with a specific anti-codon) for a particular amino acid; and 'wobble' base-pairing, i.e. permitting non-standard base-pairing at the 3rd anti-codon position. Lineage: Bacteria; Pseudomonadati; Bacteroidota; Cytophagia; Cytophagales. The record is from RNAcentral.
GGGCCCGUAGCUUAACUGAAUAGAGCAUCUGACUACGGAUCAGAAGGUUGGGGGUUUGACUCCCUCCGGGCCCACAA